CGGGAGAGGUAGGGAGGUAGAAUUUCAGAAGCGCUUCACUUACCGUAACCAUGUUUAAUACACACGUAGCCUCCUUUCCUCAAGACUCAGAUAAGUAGAUCUGAGUCUCAAGGGGUUCAGAUACGUAGAUAAUUAUUUUAAGGGAUGUUACGUCACAGUUCUUUGGCUGUUCAAGCUCAACAACUCAUGUUUAUCUCGGAGGCAUGAUUUUACAAACCAUAUCUUAUCACUCAUUACCCUCACGGCUGGGACCCGGGAUGCCCAGAAUGGGGUCGCGCGUGGCCACGGCGGUUGUGACGCGGAGACUCGGGGUCGCGAACCGCCACCCGCUCCCGUCCCCAUGGCGUCCGCCUCCCGCGCCCCCUCGAAGCCCCCUCAGGUUCUAGUCCUCGACCCACCCACGGACCUCAAGUUCAAAGGUCCCUUCACCCAGUUAGUCACGGCGCAUCUUAAACUGCGCAACCCGUCGGCGAGGAAAGUGUGUUUCAAGGUGAAGAGCACCAGCCCUCGGUGCUACUGCGUGUGGCCCAACCGCGGAGUCAUCGAGCCGGGCUGCACGGUGAUGGUCGCCGCCACGCUGCUGCCUGUCUGCUGCGGCUCCAGCUGGGAGGUCAAACACAAGUUCAUGGUGCAGACAGUGUUUGCUCCUCCGGACACCUCGGAUCUGGAGGCCGUGUGGAGGGACGCAAACCCCGGGGAACUAAUGGAUUCGAAAUUGAGGUGUGUAUUUGAAGCACCAACAGAAAGUGACAAACUGGACGAAAGCUUAAGACUCAGAAAUGCAACGCAUCCCGACAAGCCCGGCUCCUCCUCCUGCACGUCCUUGAAGCUGGAUUGCACCACGCCUCUUCCUGUUGUUCUGCUGAUGAUCGGAGCAGUUUUCUUUGGAUUCUUUCUAGGGAGAUUCGUCUUUGUAGAGUGAGGCACGCACAGCACGAUUCCUCCCACCCUACCCCAACUCCCCAACUUAGACCAGAAAAAAAAAAAAAAAAAGAUUUCUUUACUCACCAUCUCAUUGGAAGUAUGGCCCGCCCGCCCGCGGUGACAAACUUUCUGUGCCAGUAGAGUCACUUAGGCUUCGCCCCUAAUGAUGUCUUGUGAUUGGAGGACGCCAUAAAUGAGCAAACCAAAUAAAGAACUAUUGGGCUACUGGACCGAUUGCCUAGUAUCGGAUCAUCACAGGCCAGUUGCCCAUACAGUGCGUGGUGAAACGCAACAAGA
Molecule: RNA transcript, 1221 nt
Organism: Mastomys coucha (southern multimammate mouse)
Lineage: Eukaryota; Metazoa; Chordata; Mammalia; Rodentia; Muridae
Gene name: vesicle-associated membrane protein-associated protein A pseudogene
Exons: 1
Source: RefSeq, a predicted model, not a curated record